UACGGGGGGGGCAAGCGUUGUCCGGAUUUAUUGGGCGUAAAGAGCGUGUAGGCGGCUAGGUAGGUCCGUUGUGAAAACUCGAGGCUCAACCUCGAGACGUCGAUGGAAACCAUCUAGCUAGAGUCCGGAAGAGGAGAGUGGAAUUCCCGGUGUAGCGGUGAAAUGCGCAGAUAUCAGGAGGAACACCGGUGGCGAAGGCGGUUCUCUGGGCAUUACCUGACGCUGAGGAGCGAAAGUGUGGGGAGCGAACAGG
This 253-nucleotide ribosomal RNA is filed under the name uncultured bacterium. RNAcentral's name for it is "partial 16S ribosomal RNA". It matches the Rfam family "Bacterial small subunit ribosomal RNA", at positions 524 to 776 of the family's 1533-position model. The record is from RNAcentral.